Molecule: long non-coding RNA, 234 nt
Organism: Cydia amplana
Lineage: Eukaryota; Metazoa; Arthropoda; Insecta; Lepidoptera; Tortricidae
Exons: 4
Source: RefSeq, a predicted model, not a curated record
CAAGUUAGGGAACUACGAUAUCAUUCUUCUGCAAGUUGCUACAGCUUACAGGUCAAAAUGGUUCGCACUCCGCUGAUCAUAGUCGGCGUGAUGAUGGUGGCCUUAGCCACAUCAGUACAGUGUGAUAAAAUUGACUCGCUACUCAGAGCCAAUCAGCGGGUAAUGGAGUUAUUGUCGAGGCUAAACGAGCAUGCGGCAAAUUCCCGUGCAGGUGCCUUAGCAGAUGGGUAAGUU